GAAAGAACGUUAAGGGCGUAUGGUGGAUGCCUUGGCUUUGAAAGGCGAUGAAGGACGUGGUGUGGCGACGAUACGCUUCGGGGAGGUGCCAAGCAACCUUUGAUCCGGAGAUUUCCGAAUGAGGAAACUCACGAGAGAGAAAUCUUUCGUACCUUGAGUAAUCAAGGAGCAUACCUCGGGAAGUGAAACAUCUCAGUACCGAGAGGAAAAGAGACUAAUAAGAAUUUCGUUAGUAGCGGCGAGCGAACGCGAAUAAGCCCAAACUGCAGAAUUGCCCAAGCCGCUUGAGAUGUUCGAGCGGUUCGGGUGAUUCUCAGGGUUGUAAGGCAAUUAUGGCUGCACUUGAUGUGGCACGAAGUUACAAAUUGUUGAGAUAGCUGAAGUCGCUGGAAAGCGACACCCCAGAAGGUGAAAGUCCUGUAGGCGAAAUCGAAACAACUUCUUAAUUGUCCUUGAGUAGCUCAAGACAUGAAUGGCUUGAGUGAAUCUGCCGGAACUAACCGGUAAGGCUACAUACUUUCAAAGACCGAUAGCGAAUUAGUACCGUGAGGGAACGGUGAAAAGAACCCCGGUGAGGGGAGUGAAAGAGAACUGAAACCAUAUGUCUACAAGGAGUCGAAGAGGGGGCAACUCCUCGACGGCGUGCCUAUUGAAGAAUGAGCCUGCGAGUUUAUGUGUGCUGCGCAUGACUAAGCUGGAGACAGCGGAGUCGUAGGGAAACCGAGUGUGAAUAGCGCGUUAGUAGUACGCAUAAGACCCGAAGCGAGGUGAGCUUGCCAUGGGCAGGGUGAAGUGCACCGAAAGGUGCACGGAGGCCCGAACCGGUUAGCCGUGCAAAACUAUCGGAUGACCUGUGGUAAGGAGUGAAAAGCUAAUCGAACCUCGUAAUAGCUGGUUCUCUCUGAAACAGCUUUUGGGCUGGCGUCGCAGCGAUUGAUGUUUGGGGGUAGAGCACUGGAAGGACAAGACAGGGAGCAAUCUCGCUUGUCCUAUCAAACUCCGAAUACCGAACAUGUUCUGCGGCAGUUAGUACGUGGGGGCUAAGCUCCACCGUACAAAAGGAGAAGAGUCCUAGAUCUCAAGUUAAGGUCCCAAAAUCUACGUUCAGUGCAUCACAAGGAGGUGGAAUUUCCCAGACAAUGAGGAUGUUGGCUUAGAAGCAGCCAUCAUUGAAAGAAAGCGUAACAGCUCACUCAUCGAGAGAUUCUGCGCCGAAGAUAAUCGGGGCUUAAACGUAGUACCGAAACUGAGGGCUUGUGAACUUCGAUGAAGUUUGCAAGCGGUAAGAGAGCGUUCCGUUUGCGAUGAAGCUAAAGGCGCGAGCCAUAGUGGAGCGUACGGAAGUGAGAAUGCAGGCACAAGUAACCGCAAUGCGGGUGAGAUCCCCGCACGCCGAAAGAUCAAGGUUUCCUUGGCAAUGGUGAUCAACCAAGGGUUAGUCGGGCCUAAGCCGAUGGCGAAAGCCGGAGGUGAUGGACACACGGUUAAUAUUCCGUGACCGGCAGAUAUGCUAUGGAGUGACGGAGGAAAUAAUCAUCCGCGUCUUAUUGGAUUGACGUUUGUGGUGUGAAGUAGGUAUGUCAGGCAAAUCCGGCAUACGGCCUUUAGUGGUAACUAUCAUGCACAGCAAAGCAGUGCAGGGCUUCGGCCUUGUGCGAUGGAUGAGAAGAGCCUUCCAAGAAAAACUUCUAUGCUUCAGUAUCUGUACGACCGUACCGCAAACCGACACAGGUGAUCAGCUCGAGUAGAGCAAGGCGAACGAGUGAAUGUACUCCAAGGAACUCGGCAAAAAAGCAGCCGUACCUUCGGAAUAAGGCUUGCCCCAUGCAAAUGGGGCCGCAGCGAAAGUAUCCCUGGCGACUGUUUACCAAAAACACAGCUCCCUGCGAACUCGUAAGAGGAUGUAUAGGGGGUGACACUUGACCAAUGCCAGAAGGUCAAAUAUCGCCGUUGUUAUGUCGCAAGAUGUAUUGGUGAGUGAUAUAAGCCCUGGUGAAUGUCGGUCGUAACUAUAACGAUCCUAAGGUAGCGCAAUUCCUUGUCAGGUAAGUUCUGACGCGCAUGAAUGGCGUAAUNNGUGAAGAUGCCGGUUACCUGCAGAUAGACGAAAAGACCCCAGAAGCUUUACUGUAGCUUGAUAUUGCAUAUACGAUGUGACUGCGUAGCAUAGGUGGGAGAGGUUGAAGUCUUGGUUUUGGCUGAGAUGGACUCGCCAGUGAAAUACCACUCUUUCUUAUUGUAUGUGCUAACCGGUGCGGCAAAACCGCAUCGAGACAGUAUCUGGUGGGCAGUUUUAGUGGGGCGCUAUNNUCCUAAAGAGUAACGGAGGAGUGUAUUAAGGUCGGCUAGGCGCGAAUGGAAACCGUGCCGAUAGCGCAAUGGCAAAAGCCGGCUUGACUGCAAGGCGUGAAUGCCGAGCAGGUGCGAAAGCAGACCAUAGUGAACCGACCAUCCGCAUUAGACGCGGUGGAAGAUUAUCUGACAAAAGCUACUCUGGGGAUAACAGGCUAGUUCCGCCUAAGCGUCCACAGCGACGGCGGAGUUCGGCACCUCGAUGUCGGCUCACCAUAUCCCGGGGGUGAAGAAGCUCCCAAGGGUUUGGCUGUUCGCCAAUUAAAAUGGUACGCGAGCUGGGUUCAGACCGUUCAGAUGCUAAAUCUUUUGGCGUUUGGACAGUCUGAACCACGAGGAAAUGCAAUAACACAUUGCGCUGUUAACUAAUCACGGCGGCGAUAUGCAGCAAUGUAUAUCGAGAAGCUAACUUAUAUCGGUGAAACCCCUCGCGGGGCAAUACCGAGGGAACCCUACAUGUGGGGCCCGUAGAGACUGAAUGUUAGCCAUCCCUCUUUGGGAUGAUGAUACAGUCCAAUCCACUCAGUAAUGAGUGAAGACUCGAUUUCGUUUUCGAGUUGUAGGUGCGUGAGACAGGUUGGUCUCCUAUCUACUGCAG
This 2950-nucleotide ribosomal RNA is filed under the name Candidatus Adlerbacteria bacterium. Its description in RNAcentral is "bacterial LSU rRNA". It matches the Rfam family "Bacterial large subunit ribosomal RNA". Lineage: Bacteria; Candidatus Adleribacteriota. The record is from RNAcentral.